RNAcentral lists this ribosomal RNA (301 nucleotides) under uncultured bacterium. Its description in RNAcentral is "partial 16S ribosomal RNA". It matches the Rfam family "Bacterial small subunit ribosomal RNA", at positions 509 to 807 of the family's 1533-position model. The record is from RNAcentral.
CAGCCGCCGCGGUAAUGCGUAGGUGGCAAGCGUUGUCCGGAAUUAUUGGGCGUAAAGGGCUCGCAGGCGGUUUCUUAAGUCUGAUGUGAAAGCCCCCGGCUCAACCGGGGAGGGUCAUUGGAAACUGGGAAACUUGAGUGCAGAAGAGGAGAGUGGAAUUCCACGUGUAGCGGUGAAAUGCGUAGAGAUGUGGAGGAACACCAGUGGCGAAGGCGACUCUCUGGUCUGUAACUGACGCUGAGGAGCGAAAGCGUGGGGAGCGAACAGGAUUAGAUACCCGAGUAGUCCCUGUCUCUUAUAC